CUUUAGCCACAUUAGGCAAUUCCGUAAUUUUAUUUAAGGAAAUAAUGAAGCACAUUAAUAAUGUACUUAUAGUUGGUUUAAUAAAAAGCUUAUUAUAUAUUUAGAUGGACCAACAUAAUUCUCUAAGGAUUCUAAGAAUUAUUCUAGUGAUGACACGUGGCUACAAAAAAAUUGUUGCAAUGCUUCUUAAAUAAUAUAUAGGGGAUUUACGUAUGAAAAGUUGAAGAUUAAGAAUAAGUGAAUAAAUAAGUGAAAAUCGCGAAGAAGUUGCUUCAUAGUCAGUCGCUAGAGGUUUUUCCUUCAUAUUUUGAGAGAGACUUCUUCUUCUUCUUCUUCUUCUUCAUUUUGAUCUUACUUUCUUGCGUACUACUCUUGUUUACUGUUUGAAUAUCUUAUGAUGAGAUGCUUAGUGCUGCGAAAAAAACUGUUUCUCUCGCUGCCCGUCUCAGCAACGUACGAUCACUCUUUGAGAUCAUCUUUCUUUCUUUCUUUCUCUCGUUGAUAUUGCCUGGAUGUGUGUACGAGACUUCCUGCGAUUUUGAUUGAUGCAAAAAUGGAAAAUUUGAUUAACGAUGAGGCUGAAUCCUCGAUGUCAAUGUUUUGUUAUGAACAAUUCAUCCCUAGGAAGUGAGAAAGUCUCUGUUGGUGUCUGACGUUUUGACCAAAUCAGAUGAUAGUCCUGCUACUUUCGCUGAUUAUGGGUCGUAGGCGGUGAUUAGCCUUGUUCUAGAAAGGGAACUCAAGAAUGAACCUGUUUCAUUAGUUGCUGAAGAGGAUUCUGGUGAGCUGAGGAAAAUUGCUGCUGAGACAGUUUUGGCACGUAUUACAGAGCUUGUUAAAGAGACUCUUGCCACUGAUGAUUCAUAUGCGUCUGCUUCUACUUUGUCCCAUAAUGAUUCAUAUGCGUCUGAAAAUAAAUUGUGAAGCGACGCUGAUUCAUAUGCGUCUGAUGAUUCAUAUGCGUCUGAAAAUAAAUUGUUUUUGUUUUUUUGAUAGUAAAUGCGGAGCUGAAUUGGAUGUGUGAUAUAUGCUAUGUGGAGGUUUCUUCGGUACGGGAGAGUAGAUCAGAUGAUAAGAGGUUUUCCAUAUUCACUGGCACCAAGAGGCUCCACUUGCGAGCAGAGACGCGAGAGGACUGAGCAACCUGGGUUGAGGCACUGCUAGCUAUCAAAGAUAUGUUUCCAAGGAUGUCUAACAGUGAAUUGAUUGCUCCGAUCGACAAUUUGACCAUGUCCACGGAGAAGCUCCGGCAACGGUUGGUUGAUGAAGGAG
Long non-coding RNA from Brassica rapa (field mustard), 1272 nucleotides. RefSeq lists it as uncharacterized. The record is from RefSeq and is a predicted model, not a curated record. Lineage: Eukaryota; Viridiplantae; Streptophyta; Magnoliopsida; Brassicales; Brassicaceae.